CCCUUAGUUUGAUCCUGGCUCAGGACGAACGCUGGCGGCGUGCCUAAUACAUGCAAGUCGAGCGAGCGGAACUAACAGAUUUACUUCGGUAAUGACGUUAGGAAAGCGAGCGGCGGAUGGGUGAGUAACACGUGGGGAACCUGCCCCAUAGUCUGGGAUACCACUUGGAAACAGGUGCUAAUACCGGAUAAGAAAGCAGAUCGCAUGAUCAGCUUUUAAAAGGCGGCGUAAGCUGUCGCUAUGGGAUGGCCCCGCGGUGCAUUAGCUAGUUGGUAAGGUAAAGGCUUACCAAGGCGAUGAUGCAUAACCGAGUUGAGAGACUGAUCGGCCACAUUGGGACUGAGACACGGCCCAAACUCCUACGGGAGGCAGCAGUAGGGAAUCUUCCACAAUGGACGCAAGUCUGAUGGAGCAACGCCGCGUGAGUGAAGAAGGUUUUCGGAUCGUAAAGCUCUGUUGUUGGUGAAGAAGGAUAGAGGUAGUAACUGGCCUUUAUUUGACGGUAAUCAACCAGAAAGUCACGGCUAACUACGUGCCAGCAGCCGCGGUAAUACGUAGGUGGCAAGCGUUGUCCGGAUUUAUUGGGCGUAAAGCGAGCGCAGGCGGAAGAAUAAGUCUGAUGUGAAAGCCCUCGGCUUAACCGAGGAACUGCAUCGGAAACUGUUUUUCUUGAGUGCAGAAGAGGAGAGUGGAACUCCAUGUGUAGCGGUGGAAUGCGUAGAUAUAUGGAAGAACACCAGUGGCGAAGGCGGCUCUCUGGUCUGCAACUGACGCUGAGGCUCGAAAGCAUGGGUAGCGAACAGGAUUAGAUACCCUGGUAGUCCAUGCCGUAAACGAUGAGUGCUAAGUGUUGGGAGGUUUCCGCCUCUCAGUGCUGCAGCUAACGCAUUAAGCACUCCGCCUGGGGAGUACGACCGCAAGGUUGAAACUCAAAGGAAUUGACGGGGGCCCGCACAAGCGGUGGAGCAUGUGGUUUAAUUCGAAGCAACGCGAAGAACCUUACCAGGUCUUGACAUCUAGUGCCAUUUGUAGAGAUACAAAGUUCCCUUCGGGGACGCUAAGACAGGUGGUGCAUGGCUGUCGUCAGCUCGUGUCGUGAGAUGUUGGGUUAAGUCCCGCAACGAGCGCAACCCUUGUUAUUAGUUGCCAGCAUUAAGUUGGGCACUCUAAUGAGACUGCCGGUGACAAACCGGAGGAAGGUGGGGAUGACGUCAAGUCAUCAUGCCCCUUAUGACCUGGGCUACACACGUGCUACAAUGGGCAGUAUAACGAGAAGCGAGCCUGCGAAGGCAAGCGAAUCUCUGAAAGCUGUUCUCAGUUCGGACUGCAGUCUGCAACUCGACUGCACGAAGCUGGAAUCGCUAGUAAUCGCGGAUCAGCACGCCGCGGUGAAUACGUUCCCGGGCCUUGUACACACCGCCCGUCACACCAUGGGAGUCUGCAAUGCCCAAAGCCGGUGGCCUAACCUUCGGGAAGGAGCCGUCUAAGGCAGGGCAGAUGACUGGGGUGAAGUCGUAACAAGGUAACCGUAAAGGGC
RNAcentral lists this ribosomal RNA (1537 nucleotides) under uncultured bacterium. Its description in RNAcentral is "bacterial SSU rRNA". It matches the Rfam family "Bacterial small subunit ribosomal RNA". The record is from RNAcentral.